AAGGCAGAGUAGCACUUCUGCCUGUCCAGUGCGUUUCCCUGCGCAUAAAGCACAGUUUCUUGCACUGGACAGGCAGAAGUGCUACUCUGCCUU
Molecule: microRNA precursor, 93 nt
Filed under: Podarcis lilfordi (Lilford's wall lizard)
Lineage: Eukaryota; Metazoa; Chordata; Lepidosauria; Squamata; Lacertidae
Source: RNAcentral